CGGCGGACGGGUGAGUAACGCGUGGGUAACCUGCCUCAUACAGGGGGAUAACAGUUAGAAAUGACUGCUAAUACCGCAUAAGACCACAGUACCGCAUGGUACAGGGGUAAAAACUCCGGUGGUAUGAGAUGGACCCGCGUCUGAUUAGGUAGUUGGUGGGGUAACGGCCUACCAAGCCGACGAUCAGUAGCCGACCUGAGAGGGUGACCGGCCACAUUGGGACUGAGACACGGCCCAA
Molecule: ribosomal RNA, 238 nt
Filed under: uncultured bacterium
Lineage: Bacteria
Description: partial 16S ribosomal RNA
Rfam family: Bacterial small subunit ribosomal RNA
Source: RNAcentral